RNAcentral lists this transfer RNA (71 nucleotides) under Candidatus Kaiserbacteria bacterium. RNAcentral describes it as "tRNA-Trp". It matches the Rfam family "tRNA". From Rfam's summary of the family: Transfer RNA (tRNA) molecules are approximately 80 nucleotides in length. Their secondary structure includes four short double-helical elements and three loops (D, anti-codon, and T loops). The record is from RNAcentral. Lineage: Bacteria; Candidatus Kaiseribacteriota.
GGGUCUAUAGUUUAGUGGUAGAACUACGGUCUCCAAAACCGUCAGCCGAGGUUCGAGUCCUCGUGGACCCG